UCCAGAAAAAAACUCAUUAUAUAAAGGUUAGAGAUUGAUUCGCAUUUCAGUGCCCUGAGUGUGUGAGGGUGUAACGGGGUGUUACCACACAUCAUUCACACUCUUUAAAAGAAAUCCCUGGCAACCAGGAGGUCACAAAGACCUCGGUCAAGAAGACUAGAGACUAAUACACUGACACAGACACUUCGGACAAAAAGAAGAAAACCCCCUCUCUCUUUCAUCUCUUGUCUGGCGAGCUGACUCCCUUUUAUACAUAAAGGAAGCAUGUGACAGCCGGAUGGCGUUUCCUUCAUCCUUCUGCUGUGAGAUCUGUCUCUCUCUUCUUUCGUUUAGGCCUGCCGUGUGCACUGUGUUGCUGUUUGGGAGUGAACGAGAGUUCGCUGCAUUAGCAGGAGGACUCGAACACUUCCAAAGUCAAACACCGAGCUGACCCCUGCCAGUUUGUUGAGAUACUCCCCUUAAAGCAAAGUUCAGAGGUCAACAUGUGUUGAAAAUAUCAGUGUCAGCCUUAAACUUCAUUCAUUAACGUGACAUGAAUCAGCAGGGGAGGUGGCCAAAACGAUGGGUGAAGAAAACACCUGCUCCUCUCCUCCCUCUCUCUCUCACUUUGUUCUCUGGAGCGCUGCCAUUUAAUUAAAGCUCAGGUUCUGCAGACGGGGAAAUGAAAGCCUGAGGUGUGGAGGAAUGUGAGCGAGCUCUGGUGGGAAAUCUCACAGUGUUGGACGGUGUAUACUGCAUGCUCUGAUGGGUCUCUGCUCGACAUUUACAAAUGUUACUUGUCUGCUGUGACAACAUUUGAUUUAUACCGCACUGAUUGGACACUUUUAACCUUUGCAGCUCUUAAAAAGAAUAGCAUGUAUUGUGUUGCAAUCAAAUGUCCUUUUUAAAGUAUGUGCAGAGGCUCUGAGAGCUUUUUUUUUUAAGUACAGAAAAUAAGAUAAAGCCCAACAAUCGAAACAAGAUGAGCUUUCUUUUGACUGUUCUAUU
Carassius auratus (goldfish) is the source of this 987-nucleotide long non-coding RNA. RefSeq lists it as uncharacterized. Lineage: Eukaryota; Metazoa; Chordata; Actinopteri; Cypriniformes; Cyprinidae. The transcript is spliced from 2 exons. The record is from RefSeq and is a predicted model, not a curated record.